This 357-nucleotide long non-coding RNA is filed under the name Lathyrus oleraceus (garden pea). Its description in RNAcentral is "Pisum sativum (pea) long non-coding RNA (PSAT_LNC037865)". Lineage: Eukaryota; Viridiplantae; Streptophyta; Magnoliopsida; Fabales; Fabaceae. The record is from RNAcentral.
AAGCUAUAGGAACAGGUCUUCCGCUUCGGCUCGGGAACUGUUGCCAUCUCUAUCAAUGAAUCAAGCUCUUGAAUGUACCUGAGAAAUGAUAUGCAUGCAGGGAUUAGUUUUUCUUUUUUUCUCUUUUUUCAUUUUUUCAAUUUUUUUUCAUUGCAUUUCUUUUGAAAAAUAAACAUGCUAUGAUGCACAUGAUGCAGACACGACCGGCAAGCUGUGCAUCUCUGAACACAGGAUCAAAACUUCGACUCGUACUCUGAUCACAGUCAUCUGAACCCCAAAGUCAACUGGUCAACUGUCAUCUGAACCCAAUAUGAGAAACUGAUUCACCAACAGGAACACAUUGAGUCACCAACUAGU